Molecule: small RNA, 77 nt
Filed under: Epilithonimonas bovis
Lineage: Bacteria; Pseudomonadati; Bacteroidota; Flavobacteriia; Flavobacteriales; Weeksellaceae
Description: Flavo-1 RNA
Rfam family: Flavo-1 RNA
Source: RNAcentral
AUAGCCCCGAUAGUAGCGGCAUCCUCUUUCUUUUUUUUUAAAAAAAAGGAAGAGAUAUAGCGGAUAGCGGGAUUAAG